Lemur catta (Ring-tailed lemur) is the source of this 309-nucleotide long non-coding RNA. RefSeq lists it as uncharacterized. The record is from RefSeq and is a predicted model, not a curated record. NCBI's taxonomy places the organism in Eukaryota, Metazoa, Chordata, Mammalia, Primates, Lemuridae. The transcript is spliced from 3 exons.
UCGGUCCAACGCGGGGAGGCGCAGGAAUUUUCGGCAGCAGCGAUUUCACCCAGCCCGGAUCCCCGGCUAGAGGACGUGCCCGGAGCCGGCGGGUGUGUGCGGCCAAGUACGUGGAACGAGGACGCCGACUGGUGGGGCGAGCGGAUCUGUGAGAGAGCUGUCUGAAGGAUGUAACUACUCUGCUAUGGAAACCAGAUAAGACCAAGUGGUUGAAGUGACCUUGGAGCAUUCAGUAACAACCACCAUGGUUUUUCUAGAGAAAGGAGGUGUGGCAGUUAUAUCAAAAACAUUUUCAGUAGAACAUGAAUU